AACCAUCCCCCUAGUUGAAGAAAAAGCUUUGGAUUUGAGGACAAAUCCUUUUCAAGAGGGAGGGGAUGAUGGAGGAGGGCCCAAGCUCACCACACGAUGAAAGCCAAGCCUCCAAGACUAGACGGUCUAGCCUAUGAUGAGGAGCGUCUAGACUCAAAAAGGAGCGUCUAGCCCAUGAAGAGGAGCGUCUAAGCCAUGAUGAGGAGCGGCUACAUAAGGAGCGUCUAGGCCAUGAUGAGGAUUCCUUCUAGACCAUCUAGCUUCACAUACACAUGGGUCAAAGCUACGGUUUUGGGAAGAGAAGACCUUUGUAAUUGUUACAUAAAGGCCCAUUAGGGGUGCUUAGUAAUUAGAGUAGUGUAGAAAGCAUAUUUGUGUGAACAUUCUAGAAAGACCAUGGAGGGGGGGGGGGG
This 413-nucleotide long non-coding RNA is filed under the name Phaseolus vulgaris (common bean). RNAcentral's name for it is "long non-coding RNA (PVUL_LNC003607)". The record is from RNAcentral. Lineage: Eukaryota; Viridiplantae; Streptophyta; Magnoliopsida; Fabales; Fabaceae.